AAGCAAGAAAGAUGAAGUUUCAGAUUUCAUUAACCGCCACAUUUAUUACACUCAAGCCUUUAUAUAGCUUGCUAAUACUUAGCUUAUCAAGUAAGCUACUACAUAACCAAUACAAUCAAUACAUGUGGACUAAUACACUGUUGACACAUGUCCAAGUUUGUUAUCCUGUUAUUACCCCCCCUCAAUCUUAACCAAGGUACCAAGGUUAAGAUUGCCACAAUGAUGAACAAAUAUAGGACUAUGGAGACCCUUUGUAAAAAUGUCAGCUACUUGCUCCUUAGCUGGUAUGUAUUGAAUCAUGAGAUCCCCUUUUUGCACCUUCUCAUGAACAAAAUGAAAGUCGGUGUCAAGGUGUUUGAUACGAGAAUGAAAAACAGGAUUUGUACUAAGAGCAAGAGUUGAAAGAUUAUCAUAAUAUAAAACUGGAGGAGAGGGUAGAUACACAUGUAAAUCUCGCAAGAUAGAUCGAAGCCAACACACAUCUGCAGUACAAUGAGCAAGAGAUUUAUUUUCCGCCUCAGUAGAACUACGAGACACUGAAGACUGCUUCUUAGACUACCAUGAAACUGGAUUAUCAAAAAAAAAAAAAAAUACCACAUAACCAGUAAUGGAUCGCCGUGUAUUGAUAUCAGCAACCCAAUCGGAGUCGGAAUAAGCUGACAGAAGAGAAGAAGACCUAGAUUUAUAAGUCAAACCACAGUGAAGAGUCAUUUGAAGAUAUAUGAGGAUCCUUUUGACAAGAGAGAAAUAAGUAUCUAUUGGUUGACUCAUAUAUUGACACACAACACCAACUGAAUGAGCAAUAUUAGGGCACCAACUAAGCUUCUGUAUAAACUAGCAUCAGGAAGAGGUAUGCCAUUAGCAACAAGCAACUGAGAGUGUGGUUUUGCUGGAGUGGGGGCAGGUUUGCAAGUAUCCAUGCCUGCCUUAUUUAACAAUUCAGUAGCAUAUUUGGUUUGGUUAAUAAACAAAUCCCCAUUCUCUCUAUACUGAAUAUGUAAUCCUAAAAAAAUAGGUCAAUUUGCCCAUAUCUUUUACCUCAAACAAGUCACCAAGAGUGGUAAUAACAGUUUGAGCCUGAGAUGUAUCUGAGCCAGUGAUGAUUAUAUCAUCAACAUAUAAUAAGAGAAUCACCACAUUUGUGCCAUCAUACUUGACAAACAAUUUAGCAUCAGAUUGUGAGACAUUAAAACCAAGACCAAGUAAGACACUAGUAAAUUUUGAAUGCCAAGCUCGAGGAGCUUGUUUUAGUCCAUAUAGGACUUUACUAAUGUUUGUACCAUACUUGACCAAUCCCGAAACUACCGAGCACCGGCCAACGCUAUACUGUCAAGGACCCAGAAGAGUUCCCCUCCGACCAGGAGGCCAAUCACUAGAUUAGAAGCCAAUCAGAGCGCAGCACGUGUCAACAUCAAGAACCAAUCAUAACAUGACACAUGUCAAUGUGACAAAGCUACAAGUUUUUCUAUAAAUAGGGGUCAUCCCCCCACAAUAUUGCCUAAUGCCAUUUGUGUUAAAUCAUUCACAAGAACUCACUAAAUUGAGAGCUUGAUCCUUUGUACUUGUGUAAGCCCUUCACUACUAAUAAGAACUCCUCUACUCCGUGGACGUAGCCAAUCUGGGUGAACCACGUACAUCCUGUGUUUGCUUCUUUGUCUCUAUUCAUUUACGUACUUAUCCUCACUAGUGACCGAAGCAACCAAGCGAAGGUCACAAAACCUGACACUUUCUGUUGUACCAAAGUCUUCGCUGAUUUUGUGCAUCAACAACUAAUAUGCAUACAUAGUUAGGAUGCUGAGAAUCAACAAAACCUUGUGGUUGAUGCAUGUAAACAUUUUCUUGCAAAUCACCAUGCAAGAAGGCAUUUUUAAUGUCAAGCUACCGUAAAGGCCACUUACACGAAGUAGCUAAGGCUAAAAUAAGUCUGACAAUGGAAUGCCUCACCAUUGGACUAAAAGUCUCAGAAUAGUCAGUUCCCUGUUCUUGAGUGAACCCUUGAGCCACUAAUCGAGCUUUGUAACGAGAUAUACUACCAUUAGAAUUCCUUUUCACUUUAUAGACUCAUUUACACCCAACUAUGGAUCGUUGAGAUGGAACAUGAACCAAUACCUAAGUCCCUUGAGAUUUUAAAGCAUCAAAUUCCUGUUGCAUUGCCUUUUGCCAUAAAGGGUUCAUAGAAGCAGUCCUAAAAGUUUUAGGUUCUUUUAUAUCAACUAUAUCAGCAAGAUAAGUAAAACCAGAAAAGCUAUACUCAUUUGAAGCAAGUUGGAGUGAAGAUGACUCUAGAGACAUUGCCAAAUAAGCUGAAUAAUCAUGUUUGGAUAUUGCACCUAUCUUUAAUCUAGUUUGAAUUGGAGAAUUAUGAACAGAUUGGUCAAAAUGGAAUAAUACCUGCAACUGAGCAGAAUCUAGGACAUGUAACAAGGAGUGUGGAGGAGUGGCAUUAUAAUAAGUUGUUGAUGUUGAUGUUUUAGAUUCUUGUAUACUGGGAUCAACCAUUGAAUGUGAUGAAGACAUGUUUGACAUACUGGAAACAGAAGCGAAAGUACUUGAGGAACUAUCAUGCAUACCACCAAUACCAGUCUGAGGAGUGAUUACAAGUAAAGUAACCACUAAUGGAGGAACUAAUCGAGUCUCUUGAACAGUUGGAACACAUUGAGUUGUAGCAACAUAGAGCUUAACAGGAAACACACUUUCAUCAUGGAUAACAUAUUUGGAUAAAAUCAUUUUCAUGGACUGAAGAUUAUAGCAAAUAAUACCUUAUAUCCAGCUGGAUAGCCCAAAAACACACAUAACAUUGAUCUAGGUUGUAGUUUAUUGGAAUUAUAUGGCUUGAUAUAGGGAAAAACUGUUGUGCCAAAAAUCUUGAGAUGUUGCAACAUUGGUGGUUUCUGAUAUAAAGCCAGAAAUGGGGAAUCCAUAUACAAAGAUUUACAGGGCAUUCUGUUAAUUAAAUAGACAACAUGUGCACAUGCAUGAAACCAAAACUCCUGAGAUAAACCAGCAACAAAAAGUAAAGUAAUAGCAAUUUCAAUAAUAUGUCUAUUUCUCCUCUCAACAAAUCCAUUUUGUUGAGGAGUUGGACAUGAGAUCCUGUGUAGCCUUUAGAACUAAAAAAACCUCUAGUAUAUUUACCACCUCCAUCAGAUUAGAAGUACUUAACAGAGGCAUUAAAAUGUACUAAAAGGAAGGUAUAAAAUCUCACAAAGAUGGACAAAACAUCUUAUCUAUUGCAUAAAGGAAAGAUCCAUACAAAAGGAGUACAAUCAUCCACAAAGAUUACAAAAUACUUAUAUCCUUCAAUGGAUUUUAUUGGAGAGGGACCCCAAAUAUCAGAAUGAAUCUUUUCAAAGGGUACUAAACAUCUAUAAGACUUUUAAGGAAAGGGUAAUCUUGACAUCUUCCCAUAAAUACACAAGUGACACAUUGUACACUGAUCAUCUACUACAUUACUUAUUUGUGACUGUUGCAACAUAACAGAUAAGACCUCAUUAGUAGGAUGCCACAACCUUUGAUGCCAUACAGAAGACUUGAUUAAUUGCCCAAGAUAUGCUAAAGUUGGAACAUGUUGUACUAAAGAAUGCAGAGUCUUGAAAACAGGAAUUUGAAACAACUCAUUUUGCCUACUCCUGCCUUGGUGAAAAACCUCCUUGGUUACCUUGUCCUUCACAAAGAACAAAGAUUCAUCACAAAUGAACCAACACCGAUUGUCUUUGCAAAGUUGUUUAACAGAUAACAAAUCCUUAGUAAGAUAAAGAACAUGAAGAACUUGAGUUAGUUUAAGAGAAUGAGAUGGUGUAUGAAGCAUUGUAGAGCCAACAUGCUUGAUAGGCAAACCUUGACCAUUGCCUAUUUUGAUUCUGUUAGUGCCUUCAAAAUGAGUGACUUGAUUCAAGUUGUUAACAUAUGAGAUCAUAUGAUGGGAGACUCUAGUAUCGACAAUCCAAGUAUCGCCUGUAGGGUAGGUAGCUAUAGUAUGGGCAACCAUAGCUUGCAUAGAAGAACUGAAAGUUGAUGGUCUUAGAAAAGAUGGUUGAGACGAUGAAUUUGUAGACUGUGGAUGAGCAAAAUCAUGCUAAAGUGAGACAGGCGGACCACUGCCUUGAUAAGCCUAAUUACUUCGAUGAUAACACUCCAAUACAAUGUGUCCACAUUUCCCACAAAUUUGACAUUUAAUGAAAGUAGAAGAAGAUACAGAAUUUCUGUGAAAACAGUUAGGAGUCGUGUGAUCCAUUUUCUGACAAAUCUGACACUCAUGUUGCAUAGUAAAACGAGAAUCAGUGUUACAAGUCCAUCAUCUUUGCUUGUAGCCUCCAUUAUUACCUCCGCCUUUGUUAUAUUUGUAACCACAAUUAUUUCUUUGGGAACCACCAUAGGAAGGCCUUGAUUGAAAAGAAUUCUGUGAAAAAGGCAGAGAAUUAUGUGAUUGAGAUCCAUAAGAAGUAUUAGAACCAAUAUACCCAAAGCCAUAUCCAGAAGUAGAAGCAGCAUAUGGAAAUGAUGGCGGUGGUGGUGGUGAGACAUUAUAUGGUAGAGGUGGAGCAUUAUAAGAAGCUGGAUGGAUCGGUGGAACAGUGGACGGAUAAUAGGGACCAGGAGUAAUAGUACCAACAGUUGCAGAUGAAAUAUCAACAUGAGAUUGAGGAUGAGAGGAAGAGCCCCUUUUGUGAAAUCCCGUUCCUGGAUUUCAUUGUUAUAAUCUAUGUAUUUGUAUUAUUGAGAUUUUAUAUUAUAUUUUAAGAAAUUAUAUUAAUUUAUUUGGAUUUAGAUUUUAAUUAAAUUAGUUACGAAGUUUGGAAAUUAAUUAUCUAAAAUUCGUUGACCUUUUGAGGUCACAAGUAACGUAUUCGAAUAGAUCUUGAAACUACGAGAGCAUAGGCGAAAGCCAUUUGCGAGUCCGGAUUAUAACAUUAUAGAUACAGACAUUUGAAGUUAUGUUACAAAACUAUAGAUUUUAAAUUUAUUUUAAACUCCCACCUUGUGGGAAAGAGGUCAAUCAGAUUUAUGUGAGUUAAGGAAACCGAUCAGGAAAAAGAAGAAGGAGGAAAAUGAGAGGAAACACCCAAGCAACCUUGACCCGAUUUCAAACCCUGACCCGGUUGUAUCUCUUAUGUCCGAUUGAGGUGAUUUUGGUGUCUAUGAAAAGCUCUCGGCCAACCCAACAUCUUUGUGGCAUUAUAUUUCUCACUUUUUAACCCAAUUUUACAAACUGAAGCCACAAAGUCCAUUGUUUUUUGUCGGUUUUCUCAUUUUUUCGUUGAAUCCGACAAUGAUUACCGUCGACCACCACACCAAAAGACUUCCCUCAACCUCAAGAACAAAACCCAUGCAUUGGCUGGGGCGUCGAAGUUCAUUUUGGCAUCGAAUCAAGAACACCUAAUUCUAGGGUUUCGGCGGUUUGUGGGCAAUUUGAGGUGUUUCCUGGCCAAAUUGGACUUUGCCACAAGUAUAAAACUUGCUCUGCUCACUAAGAUCUAUUUUCUUGUAAAAUUUGGUAAUUUUUGGAAAUAGUUGAAUUUUUCCGCAAGUCGGGGUGGCCUACCGCCACCUGCGGCGGUGCGUGUCCAGUGGGCUAACAAUGCCUUUCUAAGUCCAAUUAGAUGCCAUGAAUUCAUAAUUGGUAUUUUUAUGAAGUAGUUUGAUUGUUUGAACUUAGUUUCAUUAUGAUACAUCACUUGAUCAAAAUUUGAAUCGAAGAUCCGACCGUUGGAUCGUCACCAAACUUUAAUGCGUUAUAGAACGUAAUAUUUGAGGAUAGCUGAACUUAUGGAUUGGGAAUUUGACUACAGAUCUUUCCGAAUUAGAUUUCUAAGUUAGUAAAAUUAAUUGUUAACCGCCACCUAAUUCUAGCAAUUGGUGAAGAUCCGACCAUCGGAUCGCGUUGAUGAUAUUUUAGUAUGUUGUUCUUUAAGCAUAAUGUGGACAUUAGGAAGUUACAGAUCUAGAUUAUGAUGUGCAGAUCUUCCGGAUUAAAUUGCUGAGGUGUGGACCCCAUCGUUGAUUUUUGGUCAACAGGUCUUGAACCAUUUAAAUUACACAAAUUAGUAUUACUAAAGACUCAAUGAGGCUUUGCGAACUUGUCUCGGUGAGUGACUUUAAUAUAUGUGAUAUGGUGAUUACCCGAUUCUUUAUAUUAAUAUCCUUUGUGGAUAUGACAUGGUUUUAUAAAUGUGUUUUCUGUUAAAAUGUGAUUAUUUUAUAAUUGGUCAUCAAUCUAUUUUUAUUAAAUAUGAUUUGAUUCAUUGAUUGGUAAUAUUUGUGGAAAGUGGUUCGAAUUGCAUGUUGAAAUGUUUUGUAAAUUGAGGGCUAGUAGGGGACUAUGACCCUGCUUGGUUAAUCCGCAUUGAGAGAUCACUAGUGGUCUUGCUUGGUUAAUCCGCGUUAGGGGACCAUACUAUAUAUGGAUCGCGCUUGGUUAAUCCACAUUGGGCGAUCCUUAUGACCAUUUAUACUGAGGGGUGAUCAUGCUUGGUUAAUCCGCGUUGGGUGAUCACUGCCUAACAGUUCUGUAGGUGUAACUCUGCUUGGUUAAUCUGCGUUGGGGGGUCACUACCUACCUGAUUAUCUUGAUCCUGCUUGGUUAAUCCUCAUUGGGAGGGUCACUAGUGGUCCUACUUGGUUAAUCCGUAUUAGGGGGAUCAUACUAUAUAUGGAUCGUGCUUGGUUAAUCCGCAUUGGGUGAUCACUUCCUAACAGCUGUAGGAGUGACUCUGCUUGGUUAAUCCGCAUUGGGGGGUCACUACCUGCUUGGUUACUUUCUUAGGGGUGGCUCUGCUUGGUUAAUCUGCUUUGGGGGGCCACUUCCUGUUUGGUUACUUAUGUAGGUUUCGGCCGAACUGCGUCCCUUUAGCCCUAGUUUUUAAUGUUCAUAUGAACGAUGUUUUUUGAGAAUCUUGUGGUUUGAAUUAGAAAAGCUGUUGGAUGUCUGGGUGACUCAUUCGGAGUUUUCAAACUUGAUUAUGAUUUCAUAAAGCAUGAUUCUAUACUUGAUAUUUAUAGAUUAUGAUCGAUGGUCUGUUUAUAUUGAAUAUCACAUAUUUGUUUUAUUGUCACUCACCCGAGCUUCGCAACUUAUCCAAGUUCUGAUUUGCCCAAUGCACCAUUUUCAUGAUGUAGGCACUGAUUUUACAUGCGACAGGUCUGGGUAGAUUACGAGAAACUGAUUGAUAUUUUGGUUCUGUUGAGUGGUCCAGAACCCAAUGUGGUUGGAUUCCGUUGAGUGGUCCGGAAUCCUUACUCUUGCACAUUUCCAAAAGGUUAGUUUAGAACCCUAGAUUCGAGUGAAUGAGAAUUGUCCACAUUAGACCUUGUGAACAUAAAUUAGUUUUGCCAUGUUGUUACUCAUGAUCCAAGUAGGAAAUUAUAUAGAGUUCUUUAAUUAAAUUCGUGAAAUAAUAUGUUAUCGUAUUAAUUGAUUAAUGUAGUUAAAUGCUAAGAUCAUGCAUCUUUAAUUCAUGAAUUGUUUAAUUUACGGGAUUGUGGAAUGACGUUGAAGAUAAAGUGAAUUAUGUGAUAAUUGUUCGAGUGUAAUAAAUGACGAACUACGAAUGGCUUGAUCCCUAUUGAGGGUACGUAGGCAGUCUAACGAGAGGUUAGAUGCAUCCAUAAAGUAUACAAAAAAAAUCACUACUCAAUUUGAGGCUUGAGCGUGCUUGGUACAUAUUCCGGAGGUGGGGUAUGUUAGAUAUACGGAUACUUGGUGACGUCACGUGUCGAUCCUGGACGUAUGUCGGGAUCGGGGCGUGACACCCUUGAUUAGGAAAAACCUUUGAAGAUGAACCCUGAACAUACAUAGCAGCCAUCAAAUUAGAGAGAGUAUGUUCCAUAGUCUCAAUAUCCCUUUUAGUUUUCAACAGUUGAGCAAGAAAUUCUUUCAACGAGAUUGUAUUUUCACAAGCCAAGAUGACUGUUCGGAUAAUAGCAUAUUCCUUGGGAAGACCAGCUAGAGCGACAAUGAUGAAAUCAUUCUCAGAAAUGUGUUCUCCAGCAGCAAGUAAUUGAUCCCUGAUGGAUUUAAGCCUAGACAAAAACUUGUCAAUGCUAUCAAAUCCCUUUUGGAGAGUUUGAAACUCUGUCUUAAGCAUAUUAAUUCUCGAUUUGGACACAGUGGCAUAUUUAUCUUCAAGAAUCAACCAAGCCUCACUAGCAAUUUUGCAACCAAGCACAUGUUCAAUAGCAUCAUCAAACAAAGUAACAAAGUAAGAAGUGCUAAAUCCACUGUCUCCCAUUCUUGAAAAUUAGAAGAGAUUUCUCUAGUGACCCUAGAUUCUGUACUGAUCACAAAUUUAGGCGGACAAAUAGAUGAACCAUCAAAAUGAUCAAAAAGCUUGUACCCUCGAAGAACAACCUUGAAUUGAAAAACCUCGAGUAAUUUGUAUCAUUAAGCUUGAUGGUUAACAUCCCCAAAAUACUCUCAAUUUUCACAAUAGGGAAAGUCAUCUUGUGUCAAAGCAAGAAAUUAACAAAUACCCAAAAAAAGUACACCAAUUUCACACUAGUAAUGGCUAUAGGCCUUCAAUGUAUGAAGCUCUAAAAAAAAAAAAAUCCCAAUCUUGAACAAAGAAAUCACGAAAAAAAAAGAUCAAGAUUCAUAUCUAUGCAUUGGCCUUCAAGUAUAUCACAAAUCAAACACUAGAACCAAGAGAAAUCACAAAUCUUAUGGCAAUCGGCCUUUAAGUAGUGUAAUCGGCAAUCGGCCUUCAAGAAUCAAUUAGCAAUUGACUUUUCAUUAAUCAUUCAAUGGAAUUAACUGAUGUAACUAAAUAACCUAGCAGAGACAGAGAGUACAUAAAUCAUCGAAAAUUGCAGUCGGCGAUACAGAAAUCACCAGAAAAGUACGAAGAUCACAGUCUGCGCUACCCAAAAAACUCCACUGUAAAUCUCGAACCUUCUCCUUGAGUUGCAGUAAGCGGAAGCAAUUAUGAACAGAGUAAUUCCACAAAGGAAGAACCUGCUCUGGAUACCAUAUUAACUAUCUUGAAUUAUCACAAAGAUUAUGCAGUGAAGAAAGAAUUGUAGAAAAGCUUUUAGAGAGCAAAGCAAGAAAGAUGAAGUUUCAGAUUUCAUUAACCGCCACAGUUAUUACACUCAAGCCUUUAUAUAGCUUGCUAAUACUUAGCUUAUCAAGUAAGCUUCUACAUAACCAAUACAAUCAAUACAUGUGGACUAAUACACUGUUGACACAUGUCCAAGUUUGUUAUCCUGUUAUUAGUUGUUACCAUAGCAUCUACAAGCAACAACACACAUGGAUACAACCAACCAUGCAGAAUGCUGCAUAGGCAAGAACUGCAGUGCUGAUCAUGUGAGUAUCUCUUUCCUUUGCUUGUAUUUGAUUUCUCUUAUUUCUUUCCAUCGGAUUUGUUUCCUAUGAUGAGGGGAUUUAUUUUCAAACACUUCUCUUUAAUAACCAUAUAGUUAUAACUGAUUCAUGUAACUAUAUUGGUUAAUCAAUUGGUUUGAGUUAGUUAGAAGAAAGUUGUUAGAAAGGGUAAUUGAGUCAUUCUGUAUUGAAAGGUUAGCUAUUAUAAAUAGCUCUUGUAACUGUCAUUUGUGAUAUAUUGGAUUCAUUUUGCUUUUCUGAAUAUACAAAGCUUUCGUCUUCCUCUUUUCAUCAUUCUUUCUGCUACUGUUCUAUAACAUUGGUAUAUCAUUUUAGUCUAUGUUAAUAUGGUAUCAUCGCCGGAGAAGGCUCGCUGCUGUUUUCGAUCCUAGGGUUUCUUCCACUACUCUGGUUCAGUUUCUUGGUGUUUCCCCCCAAUGAUUUUCUUCGCUGGGUUCUUUGGACGUUUGGGCUACUGACGUUUCCACUGGUGUUCGAAGGAUUGACGUUGUGGUUGAAGAAUUGAUUCCGUUCAGGUGAUCUCGUUCCUGUUUCUUCAUCUGGAUUUGUGUCUUGAAUGUUGAUUUUGUUUCUGGAUAAUAAUGGAGUUUGAGAGUCUGUUAUGAUUCUUGUGAAUUGGGGAUUCUGUUAUGUUUUCUCCUGAGUUGAUGAAUGAAUUCUGAUAUAGUAGUUGUGUUUUUUAAUGGAGUUUGAGAGUCUGUCAUGAUUCUUGUGAAUUGGGGAUUCUGUUAUGAUUUCUCCUGCAUUGGUAAAUUGGUGAAUGAAGUAUGAUAUAGUGUUUUGUGCGAUAGUUAAUUGACGGGUUGAUAGUGCUAUUCUGGUAUAUCAGUUUUUAAGAAGGUUGUUCGUAUUUCUUUGAUUCACGAUUUUCUUGCAAGAAAGUGUCAAUCUUUCUUGUGUUGUCCACGGUGUUCAUCUCUCUGGUUAGUCGGUUUUGGAUUUGUGGCAAUGUUCGUUUGUUUGUCAUGGCUGCGUCUUCGUUUAAAGUUGAAAGUGUUUUAGGAAUGCUUACUAUCAAGCUUAGGGAUGAUAAUUUUGCUAAGUGGGCUUUUCAGUUUCAGUCGGUGUUAAGAGGAUAUAAGUUGUUUGGUCAUUUUGAUGGUACAACUCCUUGUCCAUCAAAGUUUGUUGUUGAUUCAAAUAAUGGGGUCACAAGGGAGAUCACAGGGGCGUAUACUGAAUGGGAGACAACUGAUAUGGCUUUGUUGAGCCUCUUGCUUGCUACUCUUACUGAUGAGGCUAUGGAGUAUGUGAUUGGGUGUCGAACGGCGUAUGAAGCCUGGAAUAAUCUGGUUGAUAGAUAUGCCACUGUGUCUAAAUCCAGAAUCAAUCAUUUGAAAAUUGAAUUACACACAAUUCAAAAAGGAUCCGAUACGGUUGAUAAGUAUCUGUUGAGGCUUAAACAUAUUAGAGAACAACUUAGUGUUGCAGGUGAAUCUAUCUCAGAUAAUGAUGUUAUGAUUGCUGGUCUUGCUGGAUUACCUAAGGAGUAUGGUGUUAUUCGUACUGUUAUAUUAGCCAGGGAAUCUACACUCACGUUGAAGGAGUUUCGAGCAUUGUUACUUGGUACUGAAAGGGAAAUUGAAGGGGAACUGAAUACACUGUCAGCACUCUAUGUUCAAGGGUCAAGUUCGGGUUCCAACACUGGUUUUGGUUCUUCUGCUUCAUCUUCCAAUUCUCAAAGUCAUGCACAUAUUCCAGCUAUCACUGCUGGCACUAGUACUGUCACUGCUUUACCUAAUGUUUCACAAUCGUCCCUCCCACCACCUCAAGUUCAACAGUCAUAUUAUUCUCAACCUCCACCUCAGUUUCCAAAUGACUCAGUUGGUUAUGGUUUUUCUGCAAAUUACAGUGGUCAAAAUGCACCUAGAUCACAGUCUUUGAAUGCACAGUCUGGAUCUUUUGGGAAUAACUAUAGAGGUCACAAUAACUAUAGAGGUGGUAACAAUUACAGAUAUAACAAUGGCUUCCGAGGAAGGGGAUAUAGUUCUGGCAAUUCAGGGGGUUCAAGACAAUCUGGGAAUGGAAAUAAUAAUUGGUCCGGUAUGGUUGAUACUAGAACUACAGUGCUGAUUGAAUGUCAGAUUUGCAACAAACGAGGGCACACUGCAGUAAAUUGUUUUCACAGGAAUUCAAAUGUCCCAACUACGGGUGUUGUUGUCAAAUGUCAAAUAUGUGGGAAGAGGAGUCACUCAGCCUUGGAUUGUUCUCAAAGGGGAAACUAUGCUUAUCAAGGACAACCUCCACCUCCAUCAUUGUCUGCAAUGACUGCACAACAGACUUCUCAGUUUCUUCCUCCUGAUGCUUGGAUUGUUGAUUCUGGUGCGUCACAUCAUAUCACUUCUGAUAUUAGUGCUCUCUCUCAAGUAAUACCUUUUGAGGGAUCUGAGAAGAUAACAAUUGGGAAUGGUACAGGUCUACCAAUUAAGAAUAUUGGUUCAACUAUGCUUCACACUCCUAAACGUUCUCUAAUUCUUAAUAAAGUUUUACAUGUGCCUAAUAUUGCUAGGAGUUUACUCUCUGUGAAACAGUUAUGUGCAGAUAACAACAGUUGGUUUAUCUGUGAUGAUUCUGAAUUCUUUGUGCAGGACAAGAAGACAAAGGAGAUAGUGUACCACGGAAGGAGUAGGCCUGAGGAAUUGUUCCAGAUCCCUGUGGUUAAAAGUACAAAGGGUUCUCAGUUCAUAACACAGUAUCCAGCAGCUUAUUUGGGCAAAGCAGUGAAGAAUACUAUCUGGCAUCAGAGAUUGGGACAUCCAGCUCAUGAUGUACUGACUACAAUGUUGAAACAGUCCAAUAUUUUAGUACAAACAGAUGAUAAUCAUAGUACUUGUAUCUCUUGUAUUCAAGGCAAGAUGUCUAGGAUUCCAUUUCCGGUUAGAACUGAUAGGUGUACAUUUCCUUUUCAGAAAGUACAUACUGAUGUCUGGGGUCAUCACCUGUAAGAUCCAUAGAGGGAUAUAGGUAUUAUGUAACAUUUGUUGAUGAAUAUACAAGAUUUGUUUGGAUAUUUCCCAUGAGCAAUAAAUUUGAUGUGUUUACCAUCUUUGUUAAGUUCUACAAGUUUAUUCUUAAUCAAUUUGGUACAUCAAUCAAGUCAUUGCAAACAGAUGGGGGAAUGGAAUAUACAAGCAAGAGUUUUACUUCAUUUCUAGCUGACAAGGGCAUUUUGCAGCUCAUAUCUUGUCCUUAUACUCCUCAACAGAACGGAGUGGCAGAAAGGAAACAUAGGCAUAUUUUGGAAACUGCAAUCACCCUUCUUAGUGCUUCUGUUUUACCUUCUGAGUUAUGGUACUUUGCUUGUGCACAUUCCGUUCUGUUAAUCAAUAAUAUGCCUUGCAAAAGUUUAUCUUUCAGUUCUCCAUACUUGUCUUUGUACAAGAAGGUACCUGAUAUACAAUCUCUUAAGAUUUUUGGCUCUGCUGUAUUUCCAUGGCUGAGACCUUACAACAUUAAUAAGUUACAACCACGAUCAGUGAUGUGUGCAUUCUUGGGCUAUUCACAGGGGUACAAAGGAGUGAUUUGUUAUAACUUACAGACCAAGAAGUUUAUCAUUUCUAGACAUGUCUGUUUUGAUGAGUCUGUAUUUCCUGCGAAAAUGGUUCAACACACAAGCCCUGCACGGGUGGAUAGACAUGAUGACCAUGCACAACCAAGGGAUGUACCUGUUAUUGUUUCUAUACCAGUGUCACAUGCAAAGAGAUCUACGGAUUCUGCAGAAUCACAGAACUCUUUAUCUCAAUCAGGCACAUAAAUACUUUCUCCAAAUACUACUACAUCAGAAGAUCAUGUUUCACCAGCAUUAGAAAAUCAGGGGUCUGGAACACCUUAUGCUCAUUCCUCUUCACCGAUUACUACUCCUUUGCUUCCUGUCAUUGAUCCUGCACAACUCCAGGUAGUUUCUUCCUUUUUUCACAUCCUACUAAUUCAGUCAUCACAGAUGUCAAUCAGAAUUGUGUAUCCAAACCAGGUUAAAAACUGGUACCAUUGUUAAGAAGAGUUAUGUGGGAUGUCUUGCUUCUCUACCUCAGUUUGCAAUUCCUUACAUCUUGAUGAGUUAUUCUAUGCUGAUUUUUCUACCAACUUCCAUCCAACUUUGUCUGGAGGUUUUUCAUUUCUUGCUGACAUCACGGAUGGGGAAGAACCUAGAAAUUUUAAGGCUGCAUCAUUAAAACCAGAAUGGCAACUUGCUAUGCAAGAGGAGUUUAAUGCACUGAAAACUCAAGGCACUUGGAUCCUUGUUCCCACCUCCAUCUCAUCGGUCUAUUAUUGGAAGUAAGUGGGUGUAUAAGGUCAAGAAAAAAUCCCGAUGGUAGUAUAUCUCGGUUCAAGGCCAGGUUGGUGGCACAGGGGUACUCUCAGGAGCACGGCUUGGAUUACUCAGAGACAUUCAGUCCAGUGGUUAGACAUACCACUGUACGACUUAUCUUAGCCUUAGCAGCUCAGUUCAGUUGGCAAUUAAGACAACUUGAUAUCAAAAACGCUUUUCUUCAUGGAGACUUGGAAGAAGAGGUUUAUAUGAAACAACCACAGGGGUUUGUGGAUGCUACAUGUCCUGAGCAUGUCUGCAAAUUGGUUAAAUCUCUUUAUGGUUUAAAACAGGCUCCUCGAGCUUGGAAUUCCAAAUUUACUAGCUUUCUACCUGCUAUUGGUUUCCAAUCCUCUCUUUCCGAUAGUAGUCUAUUUGUCAAACUUGAUGGUGGAGACAUAAUCCUUUUAUUGUUGUAUGUUGAUGACAUAAUUCUCACUGGUUCAAACUCAGUUAAACUAUAGUCUGUAAUUGAUGAUCUUGCUGGUGUGUUUGAUCUCAAAGAUAUGGGACGGUUAACCUAUUUUUUGGGGCUGCAUAUACAGUAUCGAGAUGAUGGUUCCUUGUUUAUCUCUCAGACUAAAUAUGCUAAGGAUGUGUUAAAAAAGGCAGGCAUGGAGACCUGUAAGUUUACUUCCACGCCAUCUAAGCCUCAUACUCAAAUUCUUGCGGGUGAAGGAACAUUGUUAUCAGACCCGAGUCACUAUCGAAGUAUAGUUGGGGCACUUCAAUACCUCACUUUACUCGACCUGAUAUAGCCCAUUCGGUGAACAUGGUUUGUCAAUUCAUGGCACAACCAACUGAUUUACAUAUGUUCCUGGUCAAACGCAUCUUGCGGUAUGUACAAGGCACUAUUGGCUAUGGCUUACAGUAUACAAAAAGCAAGGACUUCAAUAUAACUGCUUACUCUGACUCCGAUUGGGCAGCAUAUAUCAACACAAGAAGAUCCAUUACAGGGUUUGUUGUGUAUCUUGGAACAAAUCCAAUUUCUUGGCAGUCUAAGAAGCAGUCCACGGUCUCUCGAAGCUCUAUCGAGGCAGAGUACAAGGCAUUAGCACACUGUGCAUCUGAUGUGUUUUGGAUCCGCUCUGUCUUUAAAGAUAUUCAUCAAACCAUAUCCGUCCCACCAUCCUUGUACUGCGAUAACCUCUCGGCAUUGGCUCUAAGCUCUAAUCCAGUUUUUCACUCCAAGAUCAAACACCUUGACACUGAUUUUCACUUUGUGCGUGAGAAGGUCCAGAAAGGAGAUCUUAUAGUUCACUAUAUUCCGACAGAGGAUCAGGUAGCUGAUGUAUUCACCAAGGGGUUACAUAGUCCAAUCUUUCAAAAACAUUGCCGAACUCUUGGCUUGGGAGUUGGUUCUGCAACAAACUUCACUUCGGUAGCUCAGCUCAGUUUGAGGGGGGAGUAAUAACCAUAUAGUUAUAACUGAUUCAUGUAACUAUAUUGGUUAAUCAAUUGGUUUGAGUUAGUUAGAAGAAAGUUGUUAGAAAGGGUAAUUGAGUCAUUCUGUAUUGAAAGGUUAGCUAUUAUAAAUAGCUCUUGUAACUGUCAUUUGUGAUAUAUUGGAUUCAUUUUGCUUUUCUGAAUAUACAAAGCUUUCGUCUUCCUCUUUUCAUCAUUCUUUCUGCUACUGUUCUAUAACAUUGGUAUAUCAUUUUAGUCUAUGUUAAUACUCUUCACUUUGAUGCUGCAUCAAGGUAAAGAAAAGAUUACGUUUCCAAGUUUUCAAUCGAUUUUAAGAAUUGGAUAGAUAGAAGCGGGGAACAAGCAGAGAAAAUGCAAUCCUUUUUUGUUCCUAGAAAAUAAGUGAUUCAGAAUAUCGAAUUGUAAAUAUAUGUAGCUUUGUUUGUUUUUCUUUGCUCCCUUUUGCAAACCUUCAGUUCUAUAGUAACUUCACUUCCUUUAAACAUUGCAUCAAACAUCCUCCUUCCUCAUAUUCCUUACAUCUAUUUUUUAUUUGUUAGUUUUCAAACUUUAUGUAGGACAUUUGAAGUUAUCAUGAAAUAAAAGCUUGACGGAGUCGUGACACCCUGGAUGCGUGCAAAGUUGAUGAAGGCGUGAGGGGUCAACCUGUCAAGCAGCAACUCAAUCAACGGCCCAACAAACACCUCCGCCAUGGCCACCAUUGUUUCUUUGGUUGUCAAGCAAGGAUUGCAAUGAAUAAAGACGGGAAGGGUGAACAAAAGAAAGAGUAGUGAGUACUGGGAACUAAAACGUUCACAAGCACUGGACACCUGGUCAAACUAGUUAGGCUGAGAACUGGAAACUGUGUGUUGAUGAAGACUUUAAUUCAAUGCUAAUCGCACUGUAAACCUUACACUUUCCCAAAGCUUGAAUAUUUAACUUUUUAUUUGAGGAAUCCAAAGGCAAAGGUGCUUCAAUCCAUGGCAAAUACUAGGAAAUUAUGCAUAACAAAAGGGCUUAUUUACUCCAACGCUCCCAGAAACUCAAACUUCCUCUCACUUUGCCCCCUGAAAUUUUGAGUUUCAUUGUGUAA
This 16149-nucleotide long non-coding RNA is filed under the name Malus domestica (apple). RNAcentral's name for it is "long non-coding RNA (MDOM_LNC002213)". Lineage: Eukaryota; Viridiplantae; Streptophyta; Magnoliopsida; Rosales; Rosaceae. The record is from RNAcentral.